RNAcentral lists this ribosomal RNA (444 nucleotides) under uncultured bacterium. RNAcentral describes it as "bacterial SSU rRNA". It matches the Rfam family "Bacterial small subunit ribosomal RNA", at positions 355 to 796 of the family's 1533-position model. The record is from RNAcentral.
UAGGGAAUAUUGGGCAAUGGACGAGAGUCUGACCCAGCCAUGCCGCGUGUAGGAAGAAGGCUUUCUGAGUUGUAAACUACUUUUGAUCGGGAACAAAAGAUCCUUGCGAGGAGCAUUGAGUGUACCGAUAGAAUAAGCACCGGCUAACUCCGUGCCAGCAGCCGCGGUAAUACGGAGGGUGCAAGCGUUGUCCGGAUUUAUUGGGUUUAAAGGGUGCGUAGGCGGCUAAUUAAGUCAGCGGUGAAAUUCCACAGCUUAACUGUUAGAACUGCCAUUGAUACUGGUUGGCUUGAGUACAGAUGAGGUAGGCGGAAUUGACAGUGUAGCGGUGAAAUGCUUAGAUAUUGUCAAGAACACCUAUUGCGAAGGCAGCUUACUAAACUGUAACUGACGCUGAGGCACGAAAGCGUGGGGAUCAAACAGGAUUAGAUACCCCCGUAGUCC